UUUCCGCAGGUGAACCUGCGGAAGGAUCAUUGUCGAAACCUGCCCAGCAGAACGACCCGCGAACUUGUAUAAACAACCGGGGGCGGGGGGCGUUCUCGCCCCGUGCCCCCGAACGGCGGGGAGACACUCGUGCCUUCUUGCCGAACAACGAACCCCGGCGCGGUCUGCGCCAAGGAACUUCAACUAAAGAGUGCCUCCGGUCGCCUCGGAAACGGCGUGCGUGCCGGGGGCGAAUCUUGUGCAAAACCAUAACGACUCUCGGCAACGGAUAUCUCGGCUCUC
This 282-nucleotide unclassified non-coding RNA is filed under the name plant metagenome. RNAcentral's name for it is "partial contains small subunit ribosomal RNA, internal transcribed spacer 1, and 5.8S ribosomal RNA". The record is from RNAcentral.